This 484-nucleotide ribosomal RNA is filed under the name uncultured bacterium. Its description in RNAcentral is "partial 16S ribosomal RNA". It matches the Rfam family "Bacterial small subunit ribosomal RNA", at positions 30 to 507 of the family's 1533-position model. The record is from RNAcentral.
AUUGAACGCUGGCGGCAGGCCUAACACAUGCAAGUCGAGCGGAUGAAGGGAGCUUGCUCCUGGAUUCAGCGGCGGACGGGUGAGUAAUGCCUAGGAAUCUGCCUGGUAGUGGGGGAUAACGUCCGGAAACGGGCGCUAAUACCGCAUACGUCCUGAGGGAGAAAGUGGGGGAUCUUCGGACCUCACGCUAUCAGAUGAGCCUAGGUCGGAUUAGCUAGUUGGUGGGGUAACGGCCUACCAAGGCGACGAUCCGUAACUGGUCUGAGAGGAUGAUCAGUCACACUGGAACUGAGACACGGUCCAGACUCCUACGGGAGGCAGCAGUGGGGAAUAUUGGACAAUGGGCGAAAGCCUGAUCCAGCCAUGCCGCGUGUGUGAAGAAGGUCUUCGGAUUGUAAAGCACUUUAAGUUGGGAGGAAGGGAAGUAAGUUAAUACCUUGCUGUUUUGACGUUACCAACAGAAUAAGCACCGGCUAACUUCGUG